This 406-nucleotide ribosomal RNA is filed under the name uncultured bacterium. Its description in RNAcentral is "partial 16S ribosomal RNA". It matches the Rfam family "Bacterial small subunit ribosomal RNA", at positions 30 to 526 of the family's 1533-position model. The record is from RNAcentral.
AUUGAACGCUGGCGGCAGGCCUAACACAUGCAAGUAGAACGAGUGGCGGACGGGUGAGUAAUGUCUGGGAAACUGCCUGAUGGAGGGGGAUAACUACUGGAAACGGUAGCUAAUACCGCAUACCAUCAGAUGUGCCCAGAUGGGAUUAGCUAGUUGGUGGGGUAACGGCUCACCAAGGCGACGAUCCCUAUCUGGUCUGAGAGGAUUACCAGCCACACUUGAAAUGAGACACGGGCCAGGCUCCCUCGGGGAGGAAGCGUGGGGAAUAUUUCACAAUGGGCGCAAGCCGGGUUCAGGCAUGCCGCGGGUAUGAAAGAGGCCUUCGGGUUUGAAAAUACUUUCAGCGGGGAGGCGUUACCCGCAGAAGAAGCACCGGCUAACUCCGUGGCAGCAGGCGCGGUAAUAC